RNAcentral lists this ribosomal RNA (490 nucleotides) under uncultured bacterium. Its description in RNAcentral is "partial 16S ribosomal RNA". It matches the Rfam family "Bacterial small subunit ribosomal RNA", at positions 29 to 505 of the family's 1533-position model. The record is from RNAcentral.
AGUGAACGCUGGCGGUAGGCCUAACACAUGCAAGUCGAACGGCAGCACAGUAAGAGCUUGCCCUUACGGGUGGCGAGUGGCGGACGGGUGAGGAAUACAUCGGAAUCUACUUUUUCGUGGGGGAUAACGUAGGGAAACUUACGCUAAUACCGCAUACGACCUACGGGUGAAAGCAGGGGAUCUUCGGACCUUGCGCGAUUGAAUGAGCCGAUGGCGGAUUAGCUAGUUGGCGGGGUAAAGGCCCACCAAGGCGACGAUCCGUAGCUGGUCUGAGAGGAUGAUCAGCCACACUGGAACAGAGACACGGCACAGACUCCUACGGGGGGCAGGAGUGGAGAAUUUGGGACAAUGGGCGAAAGCCUGAUCCAGCCAUACCGCGUGGGUGAAGAAGGCCUUCGGGUUGUAAAGCCCUUUUGUUGGGAAAGAAAAGCAGCAGGUUAAUACCCCGCUGUUCUGACGGUACCCAAAGAAUAGGCACCGGCUAACUUCG